RNAcentral lists this ribosomal RNA (755 nucleotides) under Salinispora tropica. Its description in RNAcentral is "bacterial SSU rRNA". It matches the Rfam family "Bacterial small subunit ribosomal RNA", at positions 28 to 776 of the family's 1533-position model. Lineage: Bacteria; Bacillati; Actinomycetota; Actinomycetes; Micromonosporales; Micromonosporaceae. The record is from RNAcentral.
AUUGAACGCUGGCGGCAUGCCUUACACAUGCAAGUCGAACGGCAGCACGGGUGCUUGCACCUGGUGGCGAGUGGCGAACGGGUGAGUAAUACAUCGGAACGUGUCCUGUAGUGGGGGAUAGCCCGGCGAAAGCCGGAUUAAUACCGCAUACGAUCUACGGAUGAAAGCGGGGGAUCUUCGGACCUCGCGCUAUAGGGGCGGCCGAUGGCGGAUUAGCUAGUUGGUGAGGUAAAGGCUCACCAAGGCGACGAUCCGUAGCUGGUCUGAGAGGACGACCAGCCACACUGGGACUGAGACACGGCCCAGACUCCUACGGGAGGCAGCAGUGGGGAAUUUUGGACAAUGGGCGAAAGCCUGAUCCAGCAAUGCCGCGUGUGUGAAGAAGGCCUUCGGGUUGUAAAGCACUUUUGUCCGGAAAGAAAUCCCUGGUCCUAAUAUGGCCGGGGGAUGACGGUACCGGAAGAAUAAGCACCGGCUAACUACGUGCCAGCAGCCGCGGUAAUACGUAGGGUGCAAGCGUUAAUCGGAAUUACUGGGCGUAAAGCGUGCGCAGGCGGUGAUGUAAGACCGAUGUGAAAUCCCCGGGCUCAACCUGGGAACUGCAUUGGUGACUGCAUCGCUUGAGUAUGGCAGAGGGGGGUAGAAUUCCACGUGUAGCAGUGAAAUGCGUAGAGAUGUGGAGGAAUACCGAUGGCGAAGGCAGCCCCCUGGGUCAAUACUGACGCUCAUGCACGAAAGCGUGGGGAGCAAACAGG